UACGAAGGGGGCUAGCGUUGCUCGGAAUCACUGGGCGUAAAGGGUGCGUAGGCGGGUCUUUAAGUCAGGGGUGAAAUCCUGGAGCUCAACUCCAGAACUGCCUUUGAUACUGAGGGUCUUGAGUACGGGAGAGGUGAGUGGAACUGCGAGUGUAGAGGUGAAAUUCGUAGAUAUUCGCAAGAACACCAGUGGCGAAGGCGGCUCACUGGCCCGUAACUGACGCUGAGGCACGAAAGCGUGGGGAGCAAACAGG
RNAcentral lists this ribosomal RNA (253 nucleotides) under uncultured bacterium. Its description in RNAcentral is "partial 16S ribosomal RNA". It matches the Rfam family "Bacterial small subunit ribosomal RNA", at positions 524 to 776 of the family's 1533-position model. The record is from RNAcentral.